CACCAUCUACUCCUGCACGAGCUGCUCUUCACCGCUUGAUGGCUUCCUUCUACACGUGUGUAUGUCUAGUUGUCUGCUUCUCAGAGCAGACAUUUACCUUCCUCAUCCACCAGCCAUUGGAGGAGGGCUGGGGCCACGAAGGUGACUGAUCCUACCCAUUCUUCGUGGAGGGUUUCCUGGUGGCCCUCUUCCAUCGUCGUAUCUGGAAUCAGAGGAGCUCCCGUAGCCUCUUCUUUUCUUUACAUCUUGCUGAAGCAGAGUUUUGAAACAGAAAACGACAAAUUCUGCUAUUCCCCAGAAGAAGUCUGUUAGGAGAGACACUCUCCAUGGGGACUGAUUCCUGCUGUCCAACACCUGACCAUUCGAGAUGUAAACCAUCUUCCCUCCGGUUGCCUGCUUCCUAG
RNAcentral lists this long non-coding RNA (404 nucleotides) under Mus musculus (house mouse). RNAcentral's name for it is "predicted gene, 48228". The record is from RNAcentral. Lineage: Eukaryota; Metazoa; Chordata; Mammalia; Rodentia; Muridae.